Molecule: long non-coding RNA, 431 nt
Organism: Musa acuminata AAA Group (dessert banana)
Lineage: Eukaryota; Viridiplantae; Streptophyta; Magnoliopsida; Zingiberales; Musaceae
Exons: 3
Source: RefSeq, a predicted model, not a curated record
CUCCCCGCCCUCGUUGCCCUCUGCCUUUCCCUCGCCGCGUCUACUGCGACACCUGCCGUGCCGGCUUCCAGACCGCCGUCAGCCAGUACAUUGCAGGUGCCAAGGUCAAGCUGCAAUGCAGAAACUACGAGACCGACGCGGUGGAGCACCUGGUCGAGGGCGUGACGGACAACACCGGCACGUACCACAUCGAGGUGGAGGACAGCCACGAGGAGGAGAUCUGCGAGGUGUCGCUGCUGCAGAGUCCGCAACCAGGCUGCACAGAGGUGGCGCAAAGCAGGAACCGUGCCCGCAUCCUGGUCACCGGCAGGAGCGGCUUGGCCUCCGACAUCCGUUAUGCGAACUCCCUGGGCUUCCUCAAGGACGAGCCGCUGCAACAGUGUGGGCUGUUACUGCAGCAGUAUGCUUUGGGCGUCGAUGACUAAGACAAG